Molecule: ribosomal RNA, 325 nt
Filed under: uncultured eukaryote
Lineage: Eukaryota
Description: partial 18S ribosomal RNA
Rfam family: Eukaryotic small subunit ribosomal RNA
Source: RNAcentral
CCCUUAGAUGUUCUGGGCCGCACGCGCGCUACACUGAUGCAUUCAACGAGCCUAUCCUUGACCGACUGGUCCGGGUAAUCUUUGAAUCUGCAUCGUGACGGGGAUAGAUUAUUGCAAUUAUUAAUCUUCAACGAGGAAUGCCUAGUAGGCGCAAGUAAUCAGCUUGCGUCGAUUACGUCCCUGCCCUUUGUACACACCGCCCGUCGCUCCUACCGAUUGGGUGUGCUGGUGAAAUGUUCGGAUCGGCCGUUUGUCGCGGUUUCCGCGUCAUGUGGCUGAGAAGUUCAUUAAACCCUCCCACCUAGAGGAAGGAGAAGUCGUAACA